AGGGUUUGAUCAUGGCUCAGAACGUACGCUGGCGGCACGCCUAACACAUGCAAGUCGAACGAAGUAGCAAUACUUAGUGGCAGACGGGUGAGUAACAUGUAGGUAUCUGCCCUUUGGCCUGGAAUAACACGAGGAAACUUGUGCUAAUACCGGAUAAGUCUUUACGGAGAAAGCUUUAUGCACCAUUGGAUGAGCCUGCACUUGAUUAGUUUGUUGGUGGGGUAAUGGCCUACCAAGACUGUGAUCAAUAGCUGAUUUGAGAGGAUGAUCAGCCACAUUGGGACUGAGACACGGCCCAAACUCCUACGGGAGGCAGCAGUGGGGAAUCUUGCACAAUGGAGGAAACUCUGAUGCAGCGAUGCCGCGUGAGUGAAGAAGGCCCUUGGGUUGUAAAGCUCUUUCGUCGGGGAAGAAAAUGACUGUACCCGAAUAAGAAGGUCCGGCUAACUUCGUGCCAGCAGCCGCGGUAAUACGAAGGGACCUAGCGUAGUUCGGAAUUACUGGGCUUAAAGAGUUCGUAGGUGGUUGAAAAAGUUAGUGGUGAAAUCCCAGAGCUUAACUCUGGAACUGCCAUUAAAACUUUUCAGCUAGAGUAUGAUAGAGGAAAGCAGAAUUUCUAGUGUAGAGGUGAAAUUCGUAGAUAUUAGAAAGAAUACCAAUUGCGAAGGCAGCUUUCUGGAUCAUUACUGACACUGAGGAACGAAAGCAUGGGUAGCGAAGAGGAUUAGAUACCCUCGUAGUCCAUGCCGUAAACGAUGUGUGUUAGACGUUGGAAAUUUAUUUUCAGUGUCGCAGCGAAAGCGAUAAACACACCGCCUGGGGAGUACGACCGCAAGGUUAAAACUCAAAUGAAUUGACGGGGACCCGCACAAGUAGUGGAGCAUGUGGUUUAAUUCGAAGAUACGCGCAGAACCUUACCAACACUUGACAUGUUCGUCGCGACUCUAAGAGAUUAGAGUUUUCGGUUCGGCCGGACGAAACACAGGUGCUGCAUGGCUGUCGUCAGCUCGUGUCGUGAGAUGUUGGGUUAAGUCCCGCAACGAGCGCAACCCUCACUUUUAGUUGCCAUCAUUAAGUUGGGCACUCUGAAAGAACUGCCAGUGAUAAGCUGGAGGAAGGUGGGGAUGACGUCAAGUCCUCAUGGCCCUUACGUGUUGGGCUACACACGUGCUACAAUGGUAUCUACAACAGGAAGCAAGACUGCGAGGUCAAGCAAAUCCUUAAAAGAUACCUCAGUUCGGAUUGCACUCUGCAACUCGAGUGCAUGAAGCUGGAAUUACUAGUAAUCGUGGAUCAGCGUGCCACGGUGAAUGCGUUCCCGGGUCUUGUACACACCGCCCGUCACACCAUGGGAGUUGGUUCUACCUUAAGGCAAGGUUUCAAACCCUUGACCACGGUAUAGUCAGCGACUGGGGUGAAGUCGUAACAAGGUAGCCGUA
RNAcentral lists this ribosomal RNA (1439 nucleotides) under uncultured bacterium. RNAcentral's name for it is "bacterial SSU rRNA". It matches the Rfam family "Bacterial small subunit ribosomal RNA". The record is from RNAcentral.